Molecule: ribosomal RNA, 466 nt
Filed under: uncultured bacterium
Lineage: Bacteria
Description: bacterial SSU rRNA
Rfam family: Bacterial small subunit ribosomal RNA
Source: RNAcentral
GCCAGACUCCUACGGGAGGCAGCAGUGAGGAAUAUUGGUCAAUGGGCGAGAGUCUGAACCAGCCAAGUAGCGUGAAGGAUGACUGCCCUAUGGGUUGUAAACUUCUUUUAUAUGGGAAUAAAACAGGGUAUGUAUACCCUCUUGUAUGUACCAUAUGAAUAAGGAUCGGCUAACUCCGUGCCAGCAGCCGCGGUAAUACGGAGGAUCCGAGCGUUAUCCGGAUUUAUUGGGUUUAAAGGGAGCGUAGGUGGAUUGUUAAGUCAGUUGUGAAAGUUUGCGGCUCAACCGUAAAAUUGCAGUUGAAACUGGCAGUCUUGAGUACAGUAGAGGUGGGCGGAAUUCGUGGUGUAGCGGUGAAAUGCUUAGAUAUCACGCAGAACUCCGAUUGCGAAGGCAGCAUACCGGCGCCCGACUGACGCUGAGGCACGAAAGCGUGGGUAUCGAACAGGAUUAGAUACCCCAGUAG